UACGUAGGGUCCGAGCGUUGUCCGGAAUUAUUGGGCGUAAAGCGCGCGUAGGCGGCCCCGUAAGUCCGUUGUGAAAGUCAAAGGCUCAACCUUUGAAAGCCGAUGGAUACUGUGGGGCUAGAGUCCGGAAGAGGCGAGUGGAAUUCCUGGUGUAGCGGUGAAAUGCGUAGAUAUCAGGAGGAAUACCGGUGGCGAAAGCGACUCUCUGGACGGCAACUGACGCUGAGGCACGAAAGCGUGGGGAGCAAACAGG
This 253-nucleotide ribosomal RNA is filed under the name uncultured bacterium. RNAcentral describes it as "partial 16S ribosomal RNA". It matches the Rfam family "Bacterial small subunit ribosomal RNA", at positions 524 to 776 of the family's 1533-position model. The record is from RNAcentral.